Molecule: ribosomal RNA, 460 nt
Filed under: uncultured bacterium
Lineage: Bacteria
Description: partial 16S ribosomal RNA
Rfam family: Bacterial small subunit ribosomal RNA
Source: RNAcentral
CCUACGGGAGGCAGCAGUGAGGAAUAUUGGUCAAUGGGCGUAAGCCUGAACCAGCCAAGUCGCGUGAGGGAUGAAGGUUCUAUGGAUCGUAAACCUCUUUUAUAAGGGAAUAAAGUGUGGGACGUGUCCUAUUUUGUAUGUACCUUAUGAAUAAGGAUCGGCUCACUCCGUGCCAGCAGCCGCGGUAAUACGGAGGAUCCGAGCGUUAUCCGGAUUUAUUGGGUUUAAAGGGUGCGUAGGCGGCCUUUUAAGUCAGCGGUGAAAGUCUGUGGCUCAACCAUAGAAUUGCCGUUGAAACUGGGGGUCUUGAGUAUGUUUGAGGCAGGCGGAAUGCGUGGUGUAGCGGUGAAAUGCUUAGAUAUCAGGAAGAACCCCGAUUGCGAAGGCAGCCUGCCAAGCCAGUACUGACGCUGAUGCACGAAAGCGUGGGGAUCAAACAGGAUUAGAUACCCGAGUAGUC